Molecule: ribosomal RNA, 102 nt
Filed under: Pyrenochaetopsis poae
Lineage: Eukaryota; Fungi; Ascomycota; Dothideomycetes; Pleosporales; Pyrenochaetopsidaceae
Description: partial 18S ribosomal RNA
Rfam family: Eukaryotic small subunit ribosomal RNA
Source: RNAcentral
GCCUAAGUUUCAGCGGGGGAUUCCCACCCGUCCAAGGUCCGGGACUGAAUGGAAGUUAAAGCGUAACAAGGUUUCCGUAGGUGAACCUGCGGAAGGAUCAUU